UGCUUUUAUUGACACAUUUUAAGGAGUAUU
RNAcentral lists this non-coding RNA (30 nucleotides) under Rattus norvegicus (Norway rat). The record is from RNAcentral. Lineage: Eukaryota; Metazoa; Chordata; Mammalia; Rodentia; Muridae.